UACAGAGGGUGCAAGCAUUAAUCGGAUUAAUUGGGCGUAAAGAGCGCGUAGGCGGGACUUUAAGUCAGAUGUGAAAUCCUUGGGCUCAACCCAAGAAGAGCAUUUGAAACUGGAGAUCUUGAGGGUAGUCGGAGAAAAUGGAAUUCCACGUGUAGCGGUGAAAUGCGUAGAUAUGUGGAAGAACACCGGUGGCGAAGGCGAUUUUCUAGGUUAAACCUGACGCUAAUGCGCGAAAGCAAGGGGAUCAAAC
RNAcentral lists this ribosomal RNA (250 nucleotides) under uncultured bacterium. RNAcentral's name for it is "partial 16S ribosomal RNA". It matches the Rfam family "Bacterial small subunit ribosomal RNA", at positions 524 to 773 of the family's 1533-position model. The record is from RNAcentral.